AUUUAAUUCUGGAUUACGGAACUAUGUAGAGUCAAUUUUAAAAAGACAUGUGUACGAACAUGACGCAAUUUGCUUAAAAUGUAGAACAAGAAUUCAACGAGAAAUUCAGGCUAACAAAUUAGUUAACAAUGUGACUGUUGCAGAAAAAAAUAAAAGCAAUGAAAAAAAAACAACCAAGCUCUGGAGGCGUCCUUAGUCCAAAAACCAUACAACUUCCAAUAUGUUCUACCACAAAAUCACACCGUAUGUGUAUUGUUUGUAAGAAGCAGAAUUCAAAUAGGCAUAAACUUAUUGUUGUUCCCAAUGAAGCCAAGACACAAACAUUUAUAGACAAGGGCAUCUUUAUUUCCACGAACAGUAGGUGUUGUUCUGAUCACCUUGUUGGUAAAUACUUCAAGCAAGAGGCUCUGAAAGCAUUAAAGCAUACUUCUCCGUCGACAUUCUUCAACCGUACGGAUGUAAACAACUUGUUGGAUAGAACCAGGUCAAUGCUAAAAGAUGUUGGAAAACUUAAUUUCGAUGUCCAGAUAGCUAUGUCAGAUGACGAUUUUGUUAAUCUCACUGGACUCACCAAACAACAGUUUGACGUUGUCGCCACACAUGUUACAGACUUAAGAAACUCUGAAGUACGCUCAAUAAGAACAUGUCUUGCUAUUCUCCUUGUAAAAUUACGCACUGGAUUAUCGAACACAAUCUUGGGAACUCUUUUCAGCCUUAAGUCCUACAAUAUACGGCGAGCCGUACACUCAGCU
This 752-nucleotide long non-coding RNA is filed under the name Mytilus galloprovincialis (Mediterranean mussel). The record is from RNAcentral. Lineage: Eukaryota; Metazoa; Mollusca; Bivalvia; Mytilida; Mytilidae.